UACGAAGGGGGCUAGCGUUGCUCGGAUUUACUGGGCGUAAAGGGCGCGUAGGCGGACAGUUUAGUCAGAGGUGAAAGCCCAGGGCUCAACCUUGGAAUUGCCUUUGAUACUGGCUGUCUUGAGUACGGGAGAGGUGAGUGGAACUCCGAGUGUAGAGGUGAAAUUCGUAGAUAUUCGGAAGAACACCAGUGGCGAAGGCGACUCACUGGCCCGUCACUGACGCUGAGGCGCGAAAGCGUGGGGAGCAAACAGG
This 253-nucleotide ribosomal RNA is filed under the name uncultured bacterium. RNAcentral describes it as "partial 16S ribosomal RNA". It matches the Rfam family "Bacterial small subunit ribosomal RNA", at positions 524 to 776 of the family's 1533-position model. The record is from RNAcentral.